AUGGAGUUAAAUGGUCCUCCAUUUGGUCAACCUACACCUUCAGCACAAGUGCCCACACAAGAUGAUUUUGAUGAUAUAGACAAGCUCACAUUGCUUAGUCUCCAGUUCAAUUGGAGUGCGGAAGAUGAUCCUAUUAGGAAGGUGAUACUAGAUGAAAUGAAGAAGAUCAAGAGUGGGAAGGAGAUAAUGGAAGUAGUAAGGAAGAUCGAGAAGAAUAUCGAUGAUGGCUGCACUAUUUCAUCCCUGCUUGAGCGGAGUGUUUCUGUGAUUUCCAAUGAUACUUGUGAGGUUCCAAUGCCUUCACAUCCAGAUGAGGAAGAUAGAAAGAGCUUUGAGGAAGAGAUACAUCAGAUUGAAGAAGAUGUACUCGAAGACAAGGAACAAGAUGAUCCAGAGCUCGAACACCCAUGUGAUCAAGUUGAAGAACCAUCAUCUAUUACCAUUGAAGAAAUAAAGGAAGUUGUUGUAUUAAAGAUGAAGAAUUACAUAUUCGAUUGCCCGUUGUCAUCCAAGAGCGCGAUAUUGUAG
Molecule: ribosomal RNA, 528 nt
Filed under: Triticum aestivum (bread wheat)
Lineage: Eukaryota; Viridiplantae; Streptophyta; Magnoliopsida; Poales; Poaceae
Description: partial small subunit ribosomal RNA
Source: RNAcentral